This 1264-nucleotide long non-coding RNA is filed under the name Anas platyrhynchos (mallard). RNAcentral describes it as "lncRNA (ENSAPLG00020012801.1)". Lineage: Eukaryota; Metazoa; Chordata; Aves; Anseriformes; Anatidae. The record is from RNAcentral.
CCCGUACCUGCACGCACAUGUGCGGCCGCCCUGCCAGCCCUCCCGCCCCUCCACCUGCAGCAGCGGUUAGGGAUGGGGAAAUUGCUCGGGGUGUCGGGCCCGGGCAGCACCAAAACCCGUGGCCUAGGGUCAACUGGCAGGCGCGCUGGUGGUUUUUGCACCAAAUUCCCACGCUGAAGCCCUCCGCCCUGCUCCCGCAGGUGGCUGGGAAGGCGGCGCAGAGCCGAGCUGCUGCCUGCGAGGAGCUGGGGCCAGGGCCGCUGCUGCCUGCAUGCUCAACCCCUGCUCAUCAACCUGCCCUGGCACGGGCACGGCGCAGGCACGUCCCCUGCUUGGAGACUCCAGCCGUGCUUACACACAGCCUACACACGGCGCGCACGCCCCCAGCUCGGCUCCCUCCUGGCGGCUGCCAGACAGCACCAGGCCGUCCUCGCAAGACCCCCUCCUCCCCCCAGCCGCGCACACAGGCAGAGCGGGAGCGCGCUCGCACGCACACCUGCAGCCGUGCACGCCGCCGGGCCCUGCUGAUUCACGCACAGAUGCUCCCAGCCCCAGCUGCUCAGCGCCAGCAGCUUGGAGGAGGACGCGUGUCCCGCUGGAGCGGGGCCGCCUCGGGCGGCACAGCCGCGGUCAGCACGGCGGGGGGGGGAGCGAGGAGCACGCACGCCUGCUCUGCUUCGCUGCACGCCGGCAGGCAGCGGGGAAGAGGCCCCGCUCGGGACCAGGGGCUGCGGCAGCUUCCAGUCGCAGGGCAGGGGGGGCACCCUGGGCUCAGGGCCCCUGGGCAUCUUCCCUGUUCCGCAGGCACCGGCCGUGUCCCGUGCCGAGCUGGGGGCCUCCCAAGGGGCUGCAGCCCUGCUCCCACCUGCCUGUCCCUGUGUCCCACGCCUCCCCAGCCAGCUCUGGCCCCACCACCUGCACGUCCCCUCUCUUUGUCUAGGUACUGGCCCCACGCUGCCCUGCAGCAUCACCUUUGGCCCUGUGGCAGGGGCCCUCCGGACCCUACAAAAUGGAGCCGUCCCCCCAUUCCCUCACCUCAUUCUCCCGUGAGGUCUGUGUGCCUGCUGGUGCAUGCUGCUGGCCUGUGAGGCUGCAGGACACAUGGGACAUAACCCUCAGCCCCAGCUGCUUGUUGAGACACUGAGCACCCCUUGGAGGGCUGGGACCUGGUGGUCUCCAAGCCUAGGCACUUCUGCUUCUGGGGGUGCAGGAAACAGGGGCCCUGGCUCAGGGAUGUGUGCCCCCUUCCCAGCCACCCCUGGCC